AGAGUUUGAUCCUGGCUCAGGAUAAACGCUGGCGGCGCACAUAAGACAUGCAAGUCGAACGGAAGUCGUUAUAAAAUGGAUUGAAGAUUUAUCAGAUUGAAGUUUCAUAACAAUGGCUUUAGUGGCGGACUGGUGAGUAAUAUGUAAGCAACCUGCCUGUUAGAGGGGAACAACAGUUAGAAAUGACUGCUAAUACCGCAUAUGCCAUAGAAACUGCAUGGUUUCAGUGGGAAAGGAGAAAUCCGCUAACAGAUGGGCUUACACCUGAUUAGCUAGUUGGUGGGGCAAAGGCCUACCAAGGCGACGAUCAGUAGCCGGACUGAGAGGUUCAACGGCCACAUUGGGACUGAGAUACGGCCCAGACUCCUACGGGAGGCAGCAGUCGGGAAUUUUGCGCAAUGGAGGAAACUCUGACGCAGUGACGCCGCGUGCAGGAAGAAGGUUUUCGGAUUGUAAACUGCUUUAGACAGGGAAGAAAAAGGACAGUACCUGUAGAAUAAGCUCCGGCUAACUACGUGCCAGCAGCCGCGGUAAUACGUAGGGAGCGAGCGUUAUCCGGAUUUAUUGGGUGUAAAGGGUGCGUAGACGGGAUAAUAAGUUAGCUGUGAAAUCCCUCGGCUCAACCGGGGAACUGCAACUAAAACUGUUAUUCUUGAGUACUGGAGAGGAAAGUGGAAUUCCUAGUGUAGCGGUGAAAUGCGUAGAUAUUAGGAGGAAUACCAGUGGCGAAGGCGACUUUCUGGACAGAAACUGACGUUGAGGCACGAAAGUGUGGGGAGCAAACAGGAUUAGAUACCCUG
Molecule: ribosomal RNA, 800 nt
Filed under: uncultured bacterium
Lineage: Bacteria
Description: bacterial SSU rRNA
Rfam family: Bacterial small subunit ribosomal RNA
Source: RNAcentral